This 742-nucleotide ribosomal RNA is filed under the name uncultured eukaryote. Its description in RNAcentral is "bacterial SSU rRNA". It matches the Rfam family "Eukaryotic small subunit ribosomal RNA", at positions 663 to 1578 of the family's 1831-position model. The record is from RNAcentral.
UCCGGGCGUGUGUGCUGGUAUGAGUCUUCCAUCCUUCUAGAGAGCCACGCCUGCUGUUCACUCAGCUGGGCGUGUGCGAUCUAGAUCAUUUACUUUGAAAAAAUUAGAGUGUUUAAAGCAGGCUUAUGCCCGAAUACAUUAGCAUGGAAUAAUAAAAUAGGACUUCGGUUCUAUUUUGUUGGUUUCUAGAACUGAAGUAAUGAUUGAUAGGGAUAGUUGGGGGUGCUAGUAUUCAGUGGCCAGAGGUGAAAUUCUUGGAUUCACUGAAGACUAACUACUGCGAAAGCAUUCACCAAGGAUGUCUUCUUUAAUCAAGAACGAAAGUUGGGGGAUCGAAGACGAUCAGAUACCGUCGUAGUCUCAACCAUAAACUAUACCGACUAAGGAUCAGUGGACGUCUUAUUUCGACUCCAUUGGCACUUUAUGAGAAAUCAAAGUCUUUGGGUUCCGGGGGGAGUAUGGUCGCAAGGCUGAAACUUAAAGGAAUUGACGGAAGGGGCACCACCACGCGUAAACACCCGCUGGAGCCGCAGCGACUCUGCGCCGAACAGCAGCCCGAAAGGGCGAGUGGUGCCCCGAACACAUGAUGCUAGUCCGGCGCGCGCACCCACGCGCCGCCGGGCGACACGCUCAGAGUGCGGGGACACCCCCAAACACUCCAGCUACCAAGCCGCGCGCCGAGAGGCCGCGGUGGCCAGGCUAACGGCCUCGGGUACGGUCACAACGCUGGAGACACGGGGGC